CCACGGCGCCGAGGCAGCGUUCCCCAAUUUCGGGCCCCCCACAAUUUAGCCCUAGGUUCACACACCCAUCUCUCUUGCGCGAUAGAAGAAUCUCUCCAUGGCGAUGGCGGCUCUUCGACACGCGGCUAGGAGGAUUGUUCGCCCGCCACCGCCGGCGAUACAUAGGGCGGCCGUCGCGGAGGAGCGACGGCGGCUGUUGCCGAGGCACAUCCACGGCGGUUCGUCUCCAGACGUCCGUAUCUUUUCUCUUGCGGAGGAGCAACGGCGCCUGUUGCCGAGGCUCUUCCAAGGUGGUUCGACUGCGGUAGGGCGAAUCUAUUCUCGCCAAUUUUGCUCCUUCCAACUUGACAAGCGUACUGAAGAAACCAAAGAAGCUCUGUACCCAAGGAAGAUGCACUCCAACGACUCGGCUGCCAAGAUACGCGUAGUGAUGAAAUCUUUCAAUAACCAAAAGAACAAUCUGGUGGGGCUUGCACCUUACACACAGAAGAUUGGAUUGCCUGAAUCCCAAUCCUUGUACACCGUGUUACGAUCACCUCAUAUUGACAAGAAGUCCAGGGAGCAAUUUUCAAUGCAUGUGAAGAAAGUAUUUGUGGUAAAGAAGGCAGAGACACACGAAUUGGCCAAGAAGUUUUUCUGGUUAAAACGGAUGCGUAUAAUGGGGGCUCAGUAUGAAAUCCAUAUUAGUUUCAAGACCCGUUUGGAUAAAAAGAUUGGCUGCAGCAAAGGUGUUGGCCUGCUUUGACAGUAGAUCCAAGAUAAAACGGGAGGCCGGCACAGAAAAAGAUGAGGUACUUUUUUUUGUAGGGAGUGUUGUAGGUACUAGAGCAGCUUCAGGUGGUCUGACCUGAGUUUAAGCCAUACACAAGCUAUCCAAGCUAACAGUAUGUCGAUGUGGAUCUUAAUUUCUGGACCCAAUUCGAUAUUUGUGUGUAAUGUCAUCUGGAUGCAUGUGCCCCAUCAUUAUCAUAGUCAUGUCUAUUGAGGAUGUAGCAGUAUCAAUUUGUAGUUCUGUACUAGCCAUCUAUCUGUUUUGAAGAUGAUGAUAAUAAUAUGUGUGGAACAGGAUGGAGCAUGUCCAGUUACAUUCUACUAUAAUCUGAAUCUGCCUUGACCUGAAAA
Long non-coding RNA from Brachypodium distachyon (stiff brome), 1122 nucleotides. RefSeq lists it as uncharacterized. The record is from RefSeq and is a predicted model, not a curated record. The transcript has 3 exons. Lineage: Eukaryota; Viridiplantae; Streptophyta; Magnoliopsida; Poales; Poaceae.